RNAcentral lists this ribosomal RNA (460 nucleotides) under uncultured bacterium. Its description in RNAcentral is "partial 16S ribosomal RNA". It matches the Rfam family "Bacterial small subunit ribosomal RNA", at positions 338 to 795 of the family's 1533-position model. The record is from RNAcentral.
CCUACGGGAGGCAGCAGUGAGGAAUAUUGGUCAAUGGGCGGAAGUCUGAACCAGCCAAGUAGCGUGCAGGAUGACGGCCCUAUGGGUUGUAAACUGCUUUUAUAUGGGAAUAACGUGCCUUACGUGUAGGGUUUUGUAUGUACCGUAUGAAUAAGGACCGGCUCACUCCGUUCCAGCAGCCGCGGUAAUACGGAGGGUCCGGGCGUUAUCCGGAUUUAUUGGGUUUAAAGGGAGCGUAGGCGGAUUGUUAAGUUUGUUGUGAAAUUUUGCGGCUCAACCGGAAAAUUGCAGUGGAAACUGGGGGUCUUGAGUGCAGGAGAGGCAGGCGGAAUUCGUGGUGUAGCGGUGAAAUGCUUAGAUAUCACGAAGAACCCCGAUUGCGAAGGCAGCUUGCUGGACCGUAACUGACGCUGAUGCUCGAAAGUGCGGGUAUCAAACAGGAUUAGAUACCCCAGUAGUC